Molecule: ribosomal RNA, 495 nt
Filed under: uncultured bacterium
Lineage: Bacteria
Description: partial 16S ribosomal RNA
Rfam family: Bacterial small subunit ribosomal RNA
Source: RNAcentral
GACGAACGCUGGCGGCGUGCCUAAUACAUGCAAGUAGAACGCUGAAGUAGGAGCUUUCCUUUCUUGAUGAUUUGCGCACGGGUGAGUAACGCGUAUGUAACCUGUCUGGUAGCGGGUGAUAACUCUUGGAAACGCUAGCUAAUACACCAUAAGAGUUGUUGUUGCAUGUCAUUUACUUAAAAGGUACAAUUUCAUCACUACUUGUUGGACCUGCGUUGUAUUAGUUAGUUGGUGGUGUAACGGCUUCCCAAGGCGACGAGACAUCGUCGACCCGGGAGGGGGAACGGGCAAACUGGGAAUGGGAAAAGGCCCAGACUCCCACGGGGAGGAGCAGGAAGGAAUCUUCGGGAAUUGACGGAAGGCUGACCGGACAACGGCGGGUGAGUGAAGAAGGGUUUCGGAUCGUAAAGCUCUGUUGUAAGGGAAGAAAGAAUGGGGGAGUGGAAAAUGCACACUGUGACGGUACCUAACCAGAAAGGGACGGCUAACUACGUG